UACGUAGGUGGCAAGCGUUGUCCGGAAUUAUUGGGCGUAAGGCGCGCGCCGGCGGUCCUUUAAGUCUGAUGUGAAAGCCCACGGCUCAACCGUGGAGGGUCAUUGGAAACUGGAGGACUUGAGUGCAGAAGAGAAGAGCGGAAUUCCACGUGUAGCGGUGAGAUGCGUAGAGAUGUGGAGGAACACCAGUGGCGAAGGCGGCUCUUUGGUCUGUAACUGACGCUGAGGCGCGAAAGCGUGGGGAGCAAAUAGG
RNAcentral lists this ribosomal RNA (253 nucleotides) under uncultured bacterium. RNAcentral's name for it is "partial 16S ribosomal RNA". It matches the Rfam family "Bacterial small subunit ribosomal RNA", at positions 524 to 776 of the family's 1533-position model. The record is from RNAcentral.